GGCCGGGCGACGGUUGUCCCGGUUUAAGCGUGUAGGUGUGUGUUCCAGGUAAAUCCGGUUCACUUUAACACUGAGGCGUGACGACGAGGCACUACGGUGCUGAAGCAACAAAUGCCCUGCUUCCAGGAAAAGCCUCUAAGCAUCAGGUAACAUCAAAUCGUACCCCAAACCGACACAGGUGGUCAGGUAGAGAAUACCAAGGCGCUUGAGAGAACUCGGGUGAAGGAACUAGGCAAAAUGGUGCCGUAACUUCGGGAGAAGGCACGCUGACACGUAGGUGAAGUGAUUUACUCAUGGAGCUGAAGUCAGUCGAAGAUACCAGCUGGCUGCAACUGUUUAUUAAAAACACAGCACUGUGCAAACACGAAAGUGGACGUAUACGGUGUGACGCCUGCCCGGUGCCGGAAGGUUAAUUGAUGGGGUCAGCGCAAGCGAAGCUCCUGAUCGAAGCCCCGGUAAACGGCGGCCGUAACUAUAACGGUCCUAAGGUAGCGAAAUUCCUUGUCGGGUAAGUUCCGACCUGCACGAAUGGCGUAAUGAUGGCCAGGCUGUCUCCACCCGAGACUCAGUGAAAUUGAACUCGCUGUGAAGAUGCAGUGUACCCGCGGCAAGACGGAAAGACCCCGUGAACCUUUACUAUAGCUUGACACUGAACAUUGAGCCUUGAUGUGUAGGAUAGGUGGGAGGCUUUGAAGUGUGGACGCCAGUCUGCAUGGAGCCGACCUUGAAAUACCACCCUUUAAUGUUUGAUGUUCUAACGUGGACCCGUUACCCGGGUUGCGGACAGUGUCUGGUGGGUAGUUUGACUGGGGCGGUCUCCUCCUAAAGAGUAACGGAGGAGCACGAAGGUUGGCUAAUCCUGGUCGGACAUCAGGAGGUUAGUGCAAUGGCAUAAGCCAGCUUGACUGCGAGCGUGACGGCGCGAGCAGGUGCGAAAGCAGGUCAUAGUGAUCCGGUGGUUCUGAAUGGAAGGGCCAUCGCUCAACGGAUAAAAGGUACUCCGGGGAUAACAGGCUGAUACCGCCCAAGAGUUCAUAUCGACGGCGGUGUUUGGCACCUCGAUGUCGGCUCAUCACAUCCUGGGGCUGAAGUAGGUCCCAAGGGUAUGGCUGUUCGCCAUUUAAAGUGGUACGCGAGCUGGGUUUAGAACGUCGUGAGACAGUUCGGUCCCUAUCUGCCGUGGGCGCUGGAGAACUGAGGGGGGCUGCUCCUAGUACGAGAGGACCGGAGUGGACGCAUCACUGGUGUUCGGGUUGUCAUGCCAAUGGCACUGCCCGGUAGCUAAAUGCGGAAGAGAUAAGUGCUGAAAGCAUCUAAGCACGAAACUUGCCCCGA
RNAcentral lists this ribosomal RNA (1335 nucleotides) under Salmonella enterica. RNAcentral's name for it is "partial 23S ribosomal RNA". It matches the Rfam family "Bacterial large subunit ribosomal RNA", at positions 1489 to 2802 of the family's 2925-position model. Lineage: Bacteria; Pseudomonadati; Pseudomonadota; Gammaproteobacteria; Enterobacterales; Enterobacteriaceae. The record is from RNAcentral. RNAcentral also lists the same sequence under 2 other names.